GGACACAACCCUGGAGAGACCCAUUUGGGCAUCGAAGAAGUAAUCUGCAUUUGUGUGCAGAGAAGCUUUCAGAUAAAAGGACAGGGAAAGGGAA
This 94-nucleotide non-coding RNA is filed under the name Caloramator australicus. RNAcentral's name for it is "Glycine sequence". It matches the Rfam family "Glycine riboswitch aptamer". From Rfam's summary of the family: This family represents the bacterial glycine riboswitch. Glycine riboswitches usually consist of two metabolite-binding aptamers domains with similar structures in tandem. The aptamers cooperatively bind glycine to regulate the expression of downstream genes. RNAcentral also lists the same sequence under 1 other name. Lineage: Bacteria; Bacillati; Bacillota; Clostridia; Eubacteriales; Clostridiaceae. The record is from RNAcentral.